This 1575-nucleotide ribosomal RNA is filed under the name Escherichia coli. RNAcentral describes it as "partial 23S ribosomal RNA". It matches the Rfam family "Bacterial large subunit ribosomal RNA", at positions 1384 to 2925 of the family's 2925-position model. The record is from RNAcentral. Lineage: Bacteria; Pseudomonadati; Pseudomonadota; Gammaproteobacteria; Enterobacterales; Enterobacteriaceae.
UCGACCCCUAAGGCGAGGCCGAAAGGCGUAGUCGAUGGGAAACAGGUUAAUAUUCCUGUACUUGGUGUUACUGCGAAGGGGGGACGGAGAAGGCUAUGUUGGCCGGGCGACGGUUGUCCCGGUUUAAGCGUGUAGGCUGGUUUUCCAGGCAAAUCCGGAAAAUCAAGGCUGAGGCGUGAUGACGAGGCACUACGGUGCUGAAGCGACAAAUGCCCUGCUUCCAGGAAAAGCCUCUAAGCAUCAGGUAACAUCAAAUCGUACCCCAAACCGACACAGGUGGUCAGGUAGAGAAUACCAAGGCGCUUGAGAGAACUCGGGUGAAGGAACUAGGCAAAAUGGUGCCGUAACUUCGGGAGAAGGCACGCUGAUAUGUAGGUGAAGCGACUUGCUCGUGGAGCUGAAAUCAGUCGAAGAUACCAGCUGGCUGCAACUGUUUAUUAAAAACACAGCACUGUGCAAACACGAAAGUGGACGUAUACGGUGUGACGCCUGCCCGGUGCCGGAAGGUUAAUUGAUGGGGUUAGCGGUAACGCGAAGCUCUUGAUCGAAGCCCCGGUAAACGGCGGCCGUAACUAUAACGGUCCUAAGGUAGCGAAAUUCCUUGUCGGGUAAGUUCCGACCUGCACGAAUGGCGUAAUGAUGGCCAGGCUGUCUCCACCCGAGACUCAGUGAAAUUGAACUCGCUGUGAAGAUGCAGUGUACCCGCGGCAAGACGGAAAGACCCCGUGAACCUUUACUAUAGCUUGACACUGAACAUUGAGCCUUGAUGUGUAGGAUAGGUGGGAGGCUUUGAAGUGUGGACGCCAGUCUGCAUGGAGCCGACCUUGAAAUACCACCCUUUAAUGUUUGAUGUUCUAACGUGGGCCCCUUACCGGGGUUGCGGACAGUGUCUGGUGGGUAGUUUGACUGGGGCGGUCUCCUCCUAAAGAGUAACGGAGGAGCACGAAGGUUGGCUAAUCCUGGUCGGACAUCAGGAGGUUAGUGCAAUGGCAUAAGCCAGCUUGACUGCGAGCGUGACGGCGCGAGCAGGUGCGAAAGCAGGUCAUAGUGAUCCGGUGGUUCUGAAUGGAAGGGCCAUCGCUCAACGGAUAAAAGGUACUCCGGGGAUAACAGGCUGAUACCGCCCAAGAGUUCAUAUCGACGGCGGUGUUUGGCACCUCGAUGUCGGCUCAUCACAUCCUGGGGCUGAAGUAGGUCCCAAGGGUAUGGCUGUUCGCCAUUUAAAGUGGUACGCGAGCUGGGUUUAGAACGUCGUGAGACAGUUCGGUCCCUAUCUGCCGUGGGCGCUGGAGAACUGAGGGGGGCUGCUCCUAGUACGAGAGGACCGGAGUGGACGCAUCACUGGUGUUCGGGUUGUCAUGCCAAUGGCACUGCCCGGUAGCUAAAUGCGGAAGAGAUAAGUGCUGAAAGCAUCUAAGCACGAAACUUGCCCCGAGAUGAGUUCUCCCUGACUCCUUGAGAGUCCUGAAGGAACGUUGAAGACGACGACGUUGAUAGGCCGGGUGUGUAAGCGCAGCGAUGCGUUGAGCUAACCGGUACUAAUGAACCGUGAGGCUUAACCUUACAACGCCGAAG